AUGCAGCCAUAUAUUUGUCAGACUGACAGAGCUGAGAUUUGGAAAGGCAGGAUUCCCCCAUUCCAUUUUGGUCUGUCGCAUCUCAUAAUUGCUGUGUGGUUGAACACCACACGGACUCACGGAGGGCAGCUGCUCCUAGCAAUGGCCUCGACCUUGAACUAUGGUGUCAUCUCGGAAACUUGUGGUGACAUUCCUACCUUGAAGGACUCUGCUGUUGGUAAAACCUCCACUCGGAAAGAUCUUGAGGAUACAGUUUCAGGGAUGAACUGUUCUUUCCCGCCAGAGCUCAGUCAGAGUGAGGAAGCCGUCAACGUCGCAUCAGGGUUCUCCAGCGAUACUUGUCAUCCAUCUGCUGCUGGAGCAAGAUUUGCCGAGGAAUUUAUGACGGAAUGGUACUCGGAUGUUCAAAGGGCCCGUGAGACACAGCCUCCCCACGAUCUCACGCCGGGGAUGGACGGCCGUCUAUCGGAGCGAUCUGCUCUUCCACGACCGAUGCCAUCUGCUGCCGCACAACACGGCGAAGGGUCCAGCUCAGAUCCAUAUUGCGUUGACGAAAGUAGGGACGUUCGUGCCAUCAAUAUCAAAGCUGCUUCGGGUUGUCACUCCUCCGCUCCAUUCACCAUGCCACAUCCGGCGACCACUGUUUUCGAGCAGCGUGCUGAAGAUGGUUGUUCAGAGGGCUAUGAGCGACGUCAAAGGGGGCGGGCCGGCAAAAGUUAUAGCCUAGAACCUGAAGAAGAUGGCUCUAACUAUAUCAAGAGGGCGUUCGAUAGAGCUGCUGAGCGAGGUUCACGCAUCGUCUUCGAGCCCGUUGAAGGCAUGAUUUUUUCAACCGAACAAGAAGCCUAUCAGUUUUACAACACAUACUCCUGGGAGAUGGGUUUCGGUAUUAAACACGGCAACAAGUAUGAGAUAAAGAAAACUGGAUACAAGACCAAUCAGGAUUUACUCUGCUCGUGUGAGGGGCGGAGCAAUGUAGGAAAUACCAGGUCCGCGCGGACCAAAUGCCCGGCAAUGGUUCGAGUGAAGAGGACAUCCACUGAUGGCUGGUUUUUCUCUCGAGUUGUUUUGACUCACAACCAUGAGCUGGCAGAAACUGUUGGUGAGAAAAAGGUCUGGAAAUGUCAUAAUGCCAUCGACUCUUCUAUGAGAGAUCUCAUCAAACAUAUGCGUUCAAACAAUGUGCAAGUUAACAAGGUGUUUGGGGUCAUGGCUGACAUCCAUGGGCGUGCUGAAGAAGUCCCAUUCGGCAAGAGGUGUCUCAAAAAUCUUUGCGCAUCAAUUGCACAUGAAGCUAGCCAGGACGACAUCGCGAAGACACUUGAGCUUUUUGCAACAAUGCAAUCCCAGAACCCUGAUUUUUUCUAUUCAGUUAAGACCGACGGAGAAAGGAGAGUGUCUGGUCUCUUGUGGUGUCACUCGAAGAGCCGUGCUGAUUACUGGUUGUUUGGUGAUGUUUUGACAUUUGACACAACCUACAAGAGCAAUUUAUAUGAGAUGCCUGUUGGGCUUUUUGUAGGUGUCAACAACCAUUAUCAGUCCACUCUUUUCGGUUGUGUUAUUUUGCGAGAGGAGACUGUAGAGUCGUUCAAGUGGGCUUUUGCAAGAGCAACCUUCCUUGGUGCCAACGGCGGUAAAACACCAAAAACUAUUCUCACAGAUCAAUGCUUGCAGAUGGAGCGUGCAAUUGCUGAUGUUAUGCCUUCUACUGCUCACCGUUGGUGCAAAUGGCAUGUGAUGAAAAACAUCAAGGAGAAACUUGGGACCUUGUACAAAAAAGGUACACCGUUCCGCAUAGAUUUCAACUAUCUAACCAACGAGAUGAUGACCGUUGAGGAGUUUGAAUCUGGAUGGCAGUUUCUGGUUUCUAGUUAUGGACUACAGGAUAACAGGUACAUGCAGGAUGUGUUUCACUGCAGGGAUAAAUGGGCCAAACCGUAUCUUAGCUCUAACUUUUGUGCCAAAAUGUCAAGCACACAACGGAAUGAGUGCAUGAAUAACGUUCUUAAAACUUAUGUAUCGCUUUCAGCACCGCUCAACAGAUUUGUGAUGCAGUAUAACAAGCUAAUAGCCUCUCGUUGCGAAGAAGAGGAUUCUGAAAUGGCGCAUACAAAAAAGGAUGGUAAGGUGUUGCAUAGUAAUGUGCCCAUCGAGCGGCACGCCUCCAAGGUCUAUACUCGUGCUGUGUUCAAGUUGUUUUCCGCUGAGCUGUAUGAGGCAGGCAGUUACGUCGUGAAAGGUCAGAAUGUGGAUGGCCGCGUUGUCGUGCAACAUGUUGACUCAGACCUCCGCGCACACUGGUGCAAAGUAAGCUAUGUGGUUAUGGUUGAUCGAGAAAGCGAUACUUACAACUGCGAGCGCGCCAUGUAUGAGCACAUGGGGCUUCUCUGCCGGCACGCUUUGAGAGUAAUGAUUCAUGUUGGCGUUCUUCGCCUUCCGGCUCAUUAUGUGAUGAAGCGGUGGACUAGAGAUGCCCGGGACAUUCUACCUGAUCAUAUCAAGAAUUAUCAGAGAGACUCGGACAUUGGGGUUUCCAAAACAUUCAGGCACAAUAUUCUGUAUGUGCGUGCACUGCAGGUGGUAAAGGAAGGUAACCUAUCUGUGCCACUUUUCAAUCAUGCAGUACAGAAGUUGCUCUCGCUGGAGAAAGAGCUGAAAGCCAUGGCUGCUUCAGAAGCUGGGACUAGUCAGCCAAGUACAAAGAUUGGGAACAGCAAGGCUGCAUCGCAAAAGCCCAAUGUGCCCAACUUUAGUGAUGUUCAACCUGCUGAUCACGUUACAGCUCUGUAUCCAGAGAAAAGACCAUCGCGUGGCCGCCCCAAAUCAAAAAGAAUGAAAUCGGCAGUUGAGCGUGCGGUGGAAAAAUCAAAGGAUGCAUGCUCUGUUUGCGGAUCAGAAGAUCAUUUUACUGAAGAUUGUGAGUGCUUGAAACUACCAGAUCAGAAUGAUGGCUCCAGCUCUGAAGAUAACUAUGUACCCGAAUCUUGCUUGGAUGGUUCCGGGGAUGAAGGACAGGACCGGUUUGUCGAGGAUCCAGUGCCCGUGGAAACUUCAGAAGCUCGGACAACUCGCUUGAUGGCAUCUGCAUCUACUACACCUCUUGCAGCUCGUUUUGCUACUGCAACCACUUCCUUUCAGCUCUAUGGUUCAGUAUAA
Molecule: ribosomal RNA, 3156 nt
Filed under: Triticum aestivum (bread wheat)
Lineage: Eukaryota; Viridiplantae; Streptophyta; Magnoliopsida; Poales; Poaceae
Description: partial small subunit ribosomal RNA
Source: RNAcentral